CCCCAGACUGGGACACAUCAAACCAACUGCGGGGCCAGGAGGGGUGAAAUGACUGGAGGCCUUGCAGCUACCGCAGUGCUCCAGUACUUCUCCCCCAGCAUCUUCAGUGGGAAAGGGGUCCUCAGAAUCGGGGUUCUCAAUGGCCACAAGUUUGGGGGUCAGCUCCUCAAUUUCACUGUCAGAAUCUGAUUCCUAAUUGUCAUACUCUGAAUCAUUGUCAGAAUUGACUAAAAUCUGAAUUUCAGCAUUUGUGAGUUGACAUUGCUAAUGCUACAGCUUAGCCCACUAGCUACAUACAUAAACAACAACACCGGAUUGCUCCAAGUGAGUGUCAGAGGUGAUGUCAUUGGCUGCAGAUGUUGUGACACUGAUGAAUUGUCUCCACAGAUGGUUUGUUUACAUAGCAGGUUAGGACAAUUAAUGUGGCAGGUUAGGAGAACUAACACAACAGGUUAGGAUAAUUAAGGUGGCAGGUUAGGAGAACUAACACAGCAGGUUAGGAUAAUUAACAUGGCAGGUUAGGAGAACUAACACAGCAGGUUAGGAUAAUUAAGGUGGCAGGUUAGGAGAACUAACACAGCAGGUUAGGAUAAUUAAGGUGGCAGGUUAGGAGAACUAACACAGCAGGUUAGGAUAAUUAAGGUGGCAGGUUAGGAGAACUAACACAGCAGGUUAGGAUAAUUAACGUGGCAGGUUAGGAGAACUAACACAGCAGGUUAGGAUAAUUAACGUGGCAGGUUAGGAAAACUAACACAGCAGGUUAGGAUAAUUAACGUGGCAGGUUAGGAGAACUAACACAGCAGGUUAAUACACAGCAGCUAAUACAGGUUAAUACACAGCAACUUCGCCUUCAACAUGCAUACUACAGACUGACCCAACUUAUCUUGUCACCUCUUCUUAUUUUUGGUUGACACAGAAAAACAAACAUGGUGGUGCGCACACAAACUCUAC
This 951-nucleotide long non-coding RNA is filed under the name Salmo salar (Atlantic salmon). RNAcentral's name for it is "lncRNA (ENSSSAG00000117291.1)". The record is from RNAcentral. Lineage: Eukaryota; Metazoa; Chordata; Actinopteri; Salmoniformes; Salmonidae.